RNAcentral lists this ribosomal RNA (251 nucleotides) under uncultured prokaryote. Its description in RNAcentral is "partial 16S ribosomal RNA". It matches the Rfam family "Bacterial small subunit ribosomal RNA", at positions 524 to 774 of the family's 1533-position model. The record is from RNAcentral.
UACGGAGGAUGCAAGCGUUAUCCGGAUUCAUUGGGUUUAAAGGGUGCGUAGGCGGACUAUUAAGUCAGUGGUGAGAGCCUGCAGCUUAACUGCAGAACUGCCAUUGAUACUGAUAGUCUUGAGUUUGGUUAAGGUAGGCGGAAUGUGUAAUGUAGCGGUGAAAUGCUUAGAUAUUACACAGAACACCAAUUGCGUAGGCAGCUUACUGAGCCGACACUGACGCUGAGGCACGAAAGCGUGGGGAUCGAACA